This 74-nucleotide transfer RNA is filed under the name Ceratotherium simum simum (southern white rhinoceros). RNAcentral describes it as "tRNA-Ile (AAT) (tRNA-Ile-AAT-6-1)". It matches the Rfam family "tRNA". Rfam says of the family: Transfer RNA (tRNA) molecules are approximately 80 nucleotides in length. Their secondary structure includes four short double-helical elements and three loops (D, anti-codon, and T loops). Lineage: Eukaryota; Metazoa; Chordata; Mammalia; Perissodactyla; Rhinocerotidae. The record is from RNAcentral.
GGCCGGUUAGCUCAGUUGUUUAGAGUGUGGUGCUAAUAACGCCAAGGUCGCGGGUUCGACCCCCGUACGGGCCA